This 496-nucleotide ribosomal RNA is filed under the name uncultured bacterium. RNAcentral's name for it is "partial 16S ribosomal RNA". It matches the Rfam family "Bacterial small subunit ribosomal RNA", at positions 28 to 507 of the family's 1533-position model. The record is from RNAcentral.
GAUGAACGCUGGCGGCGUGCCUAAUACAUGCAAGUCGAGCGAACAGACGAGGAGCUUGCUCCUCUGACGUUAGCGGCGGACGGGUGAGUAACACGUGGAUAACCUACCUAUAAGACUGGGAUAACUUCGGGAAACCGGAGCUAAUACCGGAUAAUAUAUUGAACCGCAUGGUUCAAUAGUGAAAGACGGUUUUGCUGUCACUUAUAGAUGGAUCCGCGCCGCAUUAGCUAGUUGGUAAGGUAACGGCUUACCAAGGCAACGAUGCGUAGCCGACCUGAGAGGGUGAUCGGCCACACUGGAACUGAGACACGGUCCAGACUCCUACGGGAGGCAGCAUUAGGGAAUCUUCCGCAAUGGGCGAAAGCUUGACGGAGCAACGCCGCGUGAGUGAUGAGGUCUUCGGAUCGUAAAACUCUGUUAUUAGGGAAGAACAAAUGUGUAAGUAACUAUGCACGUCUUGACGGUACCUAAUCAGAAAGCCACGGCUAACUACGUG